UCCUAUUUGCUAUCUCCACGGCACAAGCCCUGUAGACAACUUCUCCUAAUAGUGUCUCACCCCCAACAGUAGACACAAACAACAUUGAAUCAAGUUUAUCAGGUGGUAUAUUAAGUUUGGAUGUAAAAACAUGUGAAACAAAUGAAUGCGAUGCACCAGUGUCAAAUAAAACAUGAGCAAUAUGGUCACAGAUAGUAUACAUACCUUGUACCACGUCCGGGUCGGCGUCAGCAUCCUGCUGGGUGAGGUUGUAAACCUUGCCCUUAAAAGGAGGUC
RNAcentral lists this long non-coding RNA (276 nucleotides) under Carica papaya (papaya). RNAcentral's name for it is "long non-coding RNA (CPAP_LNC002125)". The record is from RNAcentral. Lineage: Eukaryota; Viridiplantae; Streptophyta; Magnoliopsida; Brassicales; Caricaceae.